UCUCCGUAGGUGAACCUGCGGAGGGAUCAUUACAGAGUUCAUGCCCUACCGGGUAGAUCUCCCACCCUAUGUUAUUAUUACUUUGUUGCUUUGGCGGGCCGUUAGGCUCCGGCCCGACUACCGGCCCCGGCUGGUAAGCGCCCGCCAGAGGACCCAAAACCCUGAAUAUUAGUGUCGUCUGAGUACUAUAUAAUAGUUAAAACUGUCAACAACGGAUCUCUUGGUUCUG
Molecule: unclassified non-coding RNA, 229 nt
Filed under: plant metagenome
Description: partial contains small subunit ribosomal RNA, internal transcribed spacer 1, and 5.8S ribosomal RNA
Source: RNAcentral